Homo sapiens (human) is the source of this 2176-nucleotide long non-coding RNA. RefSeq lists it as uncharacterized. The transcript has 3 exons. The record is from RefSeq and is a predicted model, not a curated record. NCBI's taxonomy places the organism in Eukaryota, Metazoa, Chordata, Mammalia, Primates, Hominidae.
GCGCGAGGAGCGAGCCGCUUCUCCCCAUCACAGCGAUUCCCAGGGUUGUCAUAGAAACCACUCCCUGGGGCUUGGCAAAGCAGGAGCCCUCCGUGGCAGGGCUUCGGUGUCGGGGCUCCGAGGCUCCGGCCUGACUUCUCCACGGGGUCCACAGGAGCGUCUCCGGAUGCCAGGACCUGAAAUGGGCCGACCAGGAUGAGGAAACCACAGGCAGAGGCCGGGGAAGCAGCGCGGCAUCCCAUCCUCAGGCCUGCCCGGACGGUGUUCGGGAUCAAGAGGACCACACUCCAGCCCAGGACAAAAGCCCCACGGUAGCACAUUGUCCGGCAGGAGAGGAGCAGACCCACGUCCAAGAAGAUGGUUGUACCUUUCCACGCCUCUUCUCUGCGAAAUGAAGCCACACCAUGACACAAUCUUGAAGAGGAAGCCGGGAAUGGGAGACGGCAACAAUCCCUGUCCCUGGAACGCUGGCCUCUAUGGACAAGCCACCCGCUUCGCACCCCUCCCCUUAUGCCCGUGGCGGUGGCACGGCGCCGUAUCCUGCCUGGGCUCUGGCCUCUGCUCUGUCCUCCCUCUUCCACUGUCUCCCCUGUUUCUCAGCGGCCUAGAUGCCUCUUGGUCUGGCUGAAUAUCUUCUAUGAAGAUCACUUCCCCGUCCAUCAGGGAGACAAUUCCUGGAGAUUCGUGUCAUGACUGUUUCUCUCUCCAAACCUGUUUCUGCUGGAUUGCGCAGGUCUGAUGACCCUGGAGCUCUUGGCUUCCAUACGUGUCUCAGACAGGAAACCAGAAUCAUGGCAUUCUGAAGAUUAGAGAUGCAAAUCUCCAUUAUUUGGCAUCCCCCUGGACCCGAUCUGUUUUUCAUUGCAAAUGUCCUACUGCUAAGACGAUGCAAGCACCCUCCCUCUAGGCCCAGAGACUGUUUCAGAAGAGAUGGGUGCAUGAGAUUGUAAGGGCUGGUUUUGAGGGAUACAGUUAGCUGAGACACUGCAAAUCAACGAGGGUACACAAGUGCCUAAACAGCUUGUAAAACAAAGAACUUUGCUUUCUCAGCUAUUACGUGGCACCUUUUUAUCCACCCCAACCAUGAAAAAUGUCCUGCUUCCUGGAAUUAAAAGAAAAUAAGAGGAUAAAGAUACCUCAUGGCCAAGCCUCCUGGGCAUAAUACUCCCAGUUAUAAGUUUUGCAGAUAUAUAUAUUUAGAUAUAUAAAAUUAUUUUUUAGAAAAAUGUAUAUGUUUUGUAUAGUUAAUCACUGUAAGCCUAUAAUUAAAACCAAGAUUAUAGUAGCUCAACGCAUAGAAAUGAAAGAAAACUCAAUUUUUGUAAACUCGCCAUUGGCUUUUUGUUUUUGGCUCUUUACUUUAAAUAAAUCUUUUAAGGGGUAAUGAAUGCCUGUCCGAGUCCAUUCCUAUCUUUCCUAGAACACUUACUUGUCUGUAAGUAUUUUGACUUCAAGUCCCUCCACCACAGGGAGUCUCACUGAAGGACAGGAUGGACACAGGGCAGGCAGAUAUGCCACCCAAGCAGUGCUAGGGGGAAAAAAAAUUAAUAGCCAUUGAUGCUGAUGCUGGCAAAUAUUGGCCAUAAAGGGAAGAAUGGAAACCAAAAAUAAAAUUCUAAGCCCUUCAACCAUCUGAAUGUACCCCUCCUCUCAGCCAUAGGGAUUCCAGAGUGAAACUGAAAAUCUUGUUCAGGCCAUGAUGGAAGAGAGCAUUGGACAUGCCUCAUUAUAUUUCUCCAGCAUUAACAUCAACGCAGACCUUAAGACAUCAACAUCAAACCUAAGAUUCUGAUCAGAAAUAUUUAACAUCUAUUUUCUCUGAAGCCUGCUACCUGGAGGCUUUAUCUUCCUGAUAAUAUCUAGGUUUCUCCAACACCUUAUCUUAACCCAGACAUUCCUUUCUACUGAUAAUAACUCUUUCAACCAAUUGCCAAUCAGAAAAUUUUAAAAUCUACCUAUAACCUGGAAGUCCCCACUUUGAGUUGUCCUGCCCUUCCAGAAUGAAACAAUAUAUACCUUACAUGUAUUGACUGAUGUCUCAUGUCUCCCUAAAAUGUGUAAAACUAGGCUGUGCCCUGACCAUCUUGUGCACAUGUUCUCAGGGUCUCCUGAGGGCUGUGUCAUGGCCCAUUGGUCACUUACAUUUGGCUCAGAAUAAAUCUCUUCAAAUAUUUUA